CGACAUCGUUUCAUCUUAGCCAAAAGAUCCUGGCCAUUGAUCACUCUUGAUCUAACAGACAGGAUCCUUCCUCCUAAUCCAUAUAUAUACUCACUCACUCACCCCGCACCCCCCAAAAGCACCCUACCCUCCUCAUUCUUCUUCCCCAUCUCAAACCCUCAAAGACCAGAACCCCAAAACCCUAGCCGCCUCUAGGCAAUUUGCACCAGAAACCCUGGCGGCAACGACGCCGCCGGUCACCCCGUUAACACCACAGAACCCCCAUCACACCCUAAAGCC
RNAcentral lists this long non-coding RNA (279 nucleotides) under Nicotiana benthamiana. Its description in RNAcentral is "long non-coding RNA (NBEN_LNC005732)". Lineage: Eukaryota; Viridiplantae; Streptophyta; Magnoliopsida; Solanales; Solanaceae. The record is from RNAcentral.